AUAAUCCCCUUUUUGGUAUUAGUAAGUUUCGCUCAUGUACAAGUACAAUAAAUUGUAACUACUUUUGUUGUGUUCAAGCACGGAACUAUAAUGUGUUCAAGCAUUGUUAAUGUAAUAAUAAUUAUAAUUGGAGUCGAAUAUGCGGCGGCACGAAUUAGGUCACGUUUACAUUCUGUGACCGGUCGUAGUUCGUACUCCCAUAUAAAAGGCGUAAGCGCAUACAAGAAACACGCAGCAGCCAAAGUCAAUAACGUGAGCAGAGCGCAUCCAUAGAGCCUGCGUGGGGCGAGGCAGUGGGAUGAAUGACGCAGGUCAAUGUCGGGCCGCGCUCCCCCUCCCCCCACCUCGUUACCUCGCACCCCCCCGCACGGGAAAAUUGGUUUACGAGUCGAAUUGCAGUUAUGUUCAAGAUCAAUUAGUGCUACGCUCUAUGGCUACGCUCGACUACGGCUACGGACACGGGCUACGGUCAUGCUACGCCGGCGAUACAAUACCAUAUCUACACUCUACAGUUUUUUAGGAGAUUUUUUGAGUCUUCAAAAUACAAUUAUGUCGUCUAACGUGAUUUAAUAUUAUAAUGUUAUUAUUUAUA
Long non-coding RNA from Colias croceus (clouded yellow), 592 nucleotides. RefSeq lists it as uncharacterized. The record is from RefSeq and is a predicted model, not a curated record. The transcript has 3 exons. NCBI's taxonomy places the organism in Eukaryota, Metazoa, Arthropoda, Insecta, Lepidoptera, Pieridae.